GGAGUUUUGGAUACAAAGUUGGCUGAAGCAGUGGAAGGUGGUAUGUUGUGGAUGUGAUCUGAAUCCUUCCCUGUGGUUGGUCAAGAAAAUGUCCUUCGUGUCAAAGUGUUUUUCCAUGGCAAUCGUGAAAGGCGUCUACCGUGAGCUGAGCUUCACAGUUCCGUGGGGCCACAUCGCAGCCAAGGCCUGGGGUCAUCCCAGUGGGCGCCCAGUAUUAUGUCUGCACGGCUGGGCAGAUAAUGCCAACACUUUUGACCGACUCAUCCCUUUGCUUCCCGGAGAGUUUUAUUACGUGGCAUUGGAUUUUCCUGGUCAUGGCCUUUCCUCACACCGGUCGCCAGGAAUUCCCUAUUACUUCACGGAAUACAUCUCGGACGUGCGGCGAAUUGCAGACGCUUUAAACUGGAAUAAGUUCACCAUUUUAGGCCACAGCAUGGGGGGUAAUGUUGGAGGCUUGUUUUGUUCAGUAUUCCCAGACUUGGUCGAUAAACUGAUUGUGCUGGAUGGAUAUGGGUUUUAUCCAACUGCAAUUACCGCUAUCCGGGAACGACUUCAGACAGCGAUUGAUGAGCUUAUAAAGCUGGAAAAGGAGCAGGGUUCACCCCGUGUGUAUACGCCUGGUGGAGCACUAAAGAGGUUGCUGCAGGGAAAUCGGUCCGUUUCUGAGGAAAGUGGGAAGAUUCUGCUUCAGCGGGGAGCCACUGAGGUAUCUGGAGGUGUUGUCUUCAACCGCGAUUUGAGAAUUAAUCUGCACAAUCCUGUAAGGAUGACCAUCGAACAGUGUCUGGAGUUUCAGAAGAAUAUCACAGCUGCUGUCCUCCUCAUUAUCGCUAAGGACGGACUGUGCUCAGAAAAAGCAUGGAAUCCCAACAAGCCACCGUUUAGUCUCUUACUGGAGGGAUACCGGACUCACCUGAAGGAGUUCCGAAUGGAGAAAGUACAGGGAAAUCACCACGUCCAUUUGAAUGAGCCGGAACGAGUGGUGGGAAUCAUCACCAAGUUUCUCCAGAUGGACGUCACAUCCAAAUUAUGAGGAUGGAAGAUGGGCAGCCUGUGCCUGGUCCAGCAUAAAGAAAGGAGCUCCUUCCCAGGACAGAAGAAAGCUCUCUCAACUCGACACUGGUAACCAGGAAUAAAGGCUUGUUGGUACAAACACCGCCGCUCGAAUUUGCAGCACACCGUAUACAGUCAGGUGAUUGGUUCCUGAUCAAGACCUGGAAAGAUACCAAACUCCACCCAAGUUGGGAGGGACCAUUCCUAACCCUCCUGAUUACUGAAACAGCUAUUCGGACUGCUGAGAAAGGGUGGAGUCAUCACACUCGCGUUAAAGGUCCUGUGAACGCCCCAACGGCAGAGUGGCAUGCUCAUCCUACAGACAACCCUCUGAAAGUUAAGCUGAGAAGGAAAGAAUGAACUGAGACAAAAGACUCUUUUAACGUUUGUUGAUAUAUAUUGUUAUUAAUUGUAAGGGCUGUGUGGACACCUAAAAGGUUAAGACAGGACGGUAGGCAGGGUUCAGAGAUAGGUAGAUACUGGUAUAGUAUUGUAAUGUUAGUAGUACUAACUGUUCAAGGAAGCAAGAAAAAUCACUUCACUACGCUGUGCCAGAAUUAUGCUAAACAAGAGGGACUUGCCGACUUUUGGGUCUGUGCAGAGGUCCCACACCAUGGGGAAUCUGGAAUCCCCACCUCGGUAAUACCGGUCACCAAAAAGGAAGCAUACGAUGUACAACAAUUUGACUCGGGCUCAAAUGAUACAAAGUGGAAAUCUGACAGGGGUAAAUAUAACUUUGCGGGAUGGUUCCCUAGACGAGCCUGAAAAACCCAGGGAAUUAUCGGUGGCCUUAUAAUUUCCUCACCGAAAGGAGCAGUGAAUACCACCUGUUUUUGUAAUCAGAAUGACGCCGCACCCUUCCAAUUAGGAAAAUCAUCUUGUGUUUACACCAGCCAAGCCACUGCCACAACCAUUCACCGAAUAUUGAACGGAACAUAUUGGGUAUGCGGCCAGAAGGCCUAUCCAUUUAUUCCCGGGGAAAAAUAUGUUUGAGUAACCGAAUGUAUAGGAAUAAAUGCAUGUUUUGAUGUUGAUGAAUCACUGCCUCAAAGCCAGAAAGGCUGGAGUGGCUGCUGUUACCUCGCUUAUAUAGUUCCUCAUCUCUGAUUAGAAAAACAUGAGCACAACCUGAGAAAGGAGAGGGAAUAAGACGUAAGGCCCGAAAAGUCUCUGACCGUCUGUUGUGGACACUAUUCCCAAACUACGGCACUGCAAGGGCAGGGGUAGAGAUACAUAAACUGGCGGCUGCCCUUGAGAAAUUAAUUAAUAAUACCGCCGACGUAAUGGGAGAAACUCAGUCCCAAAUAUCGGGCAUAGCCACCGAAAUGAUUGCCACAAGACUAACAGCCUUACAGAAUCGAAUGGCUCUAGACUAUCUCUUGGCCAAAAAAGGGGGAACCUGUGCACUGAUUGGUAAGGAAUGCUGCAUCUUCACCCCAGACGCCUCUUCCCUAGUGGGAGAUAAGGCAGAAAUAGUAAAGAAAAAGAUAAAGAAUAUAAAAGAAAUUGAGGAUAAACUUCAAAAAGAUGAGAAAUGGGGACUGACCGGUUGGGAAAAUGGUUAGCUAAUUUAGGCAUUUAUGUAUUUCUGAUAAUAGUAAGUUUAAUAAUAGGAUUUAAUGUGUUAAAGAGGAUCAUGAGUAAGUUGAUAAUGUCCUUAGGAGGACAACAAUCAAUGAUGGUCAUGACAAAAGUAAGCGCACAAGAAAGAGAGAGAAAUAGAUUACUCCUAGAGUAUGAAAAAAAAGGCUUAGGAGAGCAGAAACGGCAAGAUUGUGAACCUCUCCACCUUAGGGUGAAAAGAGGGCAGAAAAUAAAAAUUGCAAAAACAGCAAAUGGUAAAAGAAAAGAAAUGGGGGAGUUGUUAGAA
Chiloscyllium plagiosum (whitespotted bambooshark) is the source of this 2923-nucleotide non-coding RNA. NCBI's taxonomy places the organism in Eukaryota, Metazoa, Chordata, Chondrichthyes, Orectolobiformes, Hemiscylliidae. The record is from RefSeq and is a predicted model, not a curated record.